RNAcentral lists this ribosomal RNA (232 nucleotides) under uncultured bacterium. Its description in RNAcentral is "partial 16S ribosomal RNA". It matches the Rfam family "Bacterial small subunit ribosomal RNA", at positions 104 to 339 of the family's 1533-position model. The record is from RNAcentral.
GGGUGAGUAAUACAUCGGAACGUACCCAGUAGCGGGGGAUAGCCCGGCGAAAGCCGGAUUAAUACCGCAUACGCCCUAAGGGGGAAAGGGGGGGAUCGCAAGACCUCUCACUAUUGGAGCGGCCGAUGGCUGAUUAGCUAGUUGGUGAGGUAAAGGCUCACCAAGGCGACGAUCCGUAGCUGGUUUGAGAGGACGACCAGCCACACUGGGACUGAGACACGGCCCAGACUCC